GCCCGGGUGGUGGAAUGGUAGACACGAGGGACUUAAAAUCCCUUGAGGGCAACCUCGUGUGGGUUCGAUACCCACCCCGGGCACCA
RNAcentral lists this transfer RNA (86 nucleotides) under Candidatus Peregrinibacteria bacterium. Its description in RNAcentral is "tRNA-Leu". It matches the Rfam family "tRNA". Rfam says of the family: Transfer RNA (tRNA) molecules are approximately 80 nucleotides in length. Their secondary structure includes four short double-helical elements and three loops (D, anti-codon, and T loops). Further hydrogen bonds mediate the characteristic L-shaped molecular structure. tRNAs have two regions of fundamental functional importance: the anti-codon, which is responsible for specific mRNA codon recognition, and the 3' end, to which the tRNAs corresponding amino acid is attached (by aminoacyl-tRNA synthetases). tRNAs cope with the degeneracy of the genetic code in two manners: having more than one tRNA (with a specific anti-codon) for a particular amino acid; and 'wobble' base-pairing, i.e. permitting non-standard base-pairing at the 3rd anti-codon position. The record is from RNAcentral. Lineage: Bacteria; Candidatus Peregrinibacteriota.